GCUGACGAGUGGCGAACGGGUGAGUAAUACAUCGGAACGUGCCCGAUCGUGGGGGAUAACGGAGCGAAAGCUUUGCUAAUACCGCAUACGAUCUACGGAUGAAAGCAGGGGACCGCAAGGCCUUGCGCGGACGGAGCGGCCGAUGGCAGAUUAGGUAGUUGGUGGGAUAAAAGCUUACCAAGCCGACGAUCUGUAGCUGGUCUGAGAGGACGACCAGCCACACUGGGACUGAGACACGGCCCAGACUCCUACGGGAGGCAGCAGUGGGGAAUUUUGGACAAUGGGCGAAAGCCUGAUCAGCCAUGCCGCGUGCAGGAUGAAGGCCUUCGGGUUGUAAACUGCUUUUGUACGGAACGAAAAGACUCCUUCUAAUAAAGGGGGUCCAUGACGGUACCCGUAAGAAUAAGCACCGGCUAACUACGUGCCAGCAGCCCGCGGUAAUACGUAGGGUGCAAGCGUUAAUCCGGAAUUACUGGGCGUAAAGCGUGCGCAGGCGGUUAUAUAAGACAGAUGUGAAAUCCCCGGGCUCAACCUGGGAACUGCAUUUGUGACUGUAUAGCUAGAGUACCGGCAGAGGGGGAUGGAAUUCCGCGUGUAGCAGUGAAAUGCGUAGAUAUGCGGAGGAACACCCAUGGCGAAGGCAAUCCCCUGGGCCUGUACUGACGCUCAUGCACGAAAGCGUGGGGAGCAAACAGGAUUA
Molecule: ribosomal RNA, 700 nt
Filed under: uncultured bacterium
Lineage: Bacteria
Description: bacterial SSU rRNA
Rfam family: Bacterial small subunit ribosomal RNA
Source: RNAcentral